RNAcentral lists this long non-coding RNA (583 nucleotides) under Helianthus annuus (common sunflower). Its description in RNAcentral is "hypothetical non coding rna". The record is from RNAcentral. Lineage: Eukaryota; Viridiplantae; Streptophyta; Magnoliopsida; Asterales; Asteraceae.
UUCCUUAUCUUUGGCCCAAGCUUGAUAAUCAAAGCUGGGCGUCCAACCUUUUUCACCACCCAAAAAAAAAGUAAGUAAACAGCUUAGGUGGAAACUUAAGUUGCUAGAGAGCUAUCGUGGUCGAAGAAAGAUGAUGCUCCAUGUAUUAGUAGCCAUCUUCGAUAACUUAGUUAUGUGCAUAUAGAUCUAGUUACUUGGUGUCUUUUUUAGGAUUCAAAUGAUAUGAACGGCAUGGCAUCAAAUGUUUGCUGGACCAAGUCUUGAAUUGGGUUGGUUAUAAUCUGGAGCUUCAAGUAUCCCUUCCUUGCCAUUUCUAUCCAAACAAAUUAGCAACGCUUUCAAUAGAAGACGAUUUCCGAUCAGAUUAGUGUUGGAAAUAAGAGAUAUAAAUAAGUGAUAAAGAUUGAAAAGAUCAGAUAUGAGUAUAACACAUCAUCAUCUAUAUAAGUAGGAGAAUAAUUCAAAUUAGACUAGCUUAAAUACGACAUUGUACCUAUGGUUACUGUUAAAUACUCAACACAUUGUACCUAUAGUUACUUCUGCAUUUGGUUAUUUGAAAGCCUCAUUGUAUCAAAAGACGGCC